AUUGAACGCUGGCGGCAUGCCUUACACAUGCAAGUCGAACGGCAGCACGGGAGCAAUCCUGGUGGCGAGUGGCGAACGGGUGAGUAAUAUAUCGGAACGUGCCCAGUCGUGGGGAUAACGUAGCGAAAGCUACGCUAAUACCGCAUACGAUCUAUGGAUGAAAGCGGGGGAUCGCAAGACCUCGCGCGAUUGGAGCGGCCGAUAUCAGAUUAGGUAGUUGGUGAAGUAAAGGCUCACCAAGCCGACGAUCUGUAGCUGGUCUGAGAGGACGACCAGCCACACUGGGACUGAGACACGGCCCAGACUCCUACGGGAGGCAGCAGUGGGGAAUAUUGGACAAUGGGCGAAAGCCUGAUCCAGCAAUGCCGCGUGAGUGAUGAAGGCCUUC
RNAcentral lists this ribosomal RNA (388 nucleotides) under uncultured bacterium. RNAcentral describes it as "bacterial SSU rRNA". It matches the Rfam family "Bacterial small subunit ribosomal RNA", at positions 30 to 419 of the family's 1533-position model. The record is from RNAcentral.